GCCACCGUAGCAUAAUGGCGAUGCAGCACACUCGUAAUGUGCAGAUUGAGGGUUCAAUUCCCUCCGGUGGCU
Molecule: transfer RNA, 72 nt
Filed under: archaeon
Lineage: Archaea
Also listed under: 1 other name
Description: tRNA-Thr
Rfam family: tRNA
About the family: Transfer RNA (tRNA) molecules are approximately 80 nucleotides in length. Their secondary structure includes four short double-helical elements and three loops (D, anti-codon, and T loops).
Source: RNAcentral